GGGAAGUAAAAGUCGUAACUAGGUUUCCGUAGGUGAACCUGCGGAAGGAUCAUUAUUGGAUUUUGAAACUUCAGGCUGCUGCUGGCUCUCCUCGGAGGGCAUGUGCACGCUUGUUGUCCAUUAUUUCUCCCACUGUGCACAAAUUGUAGACCUUUCAGUAGGCCUAUGUUGUUUUUCACAAUCUCUGAAUGUAAUAGAAUGGUUUUGAAUCUUGGGAAAUACAAUACAACUUUCAGCAACGGAUCUCUUGGCUCUC
RNAcentral lists this unclassified non-coding RNA (256 nucleotides) under plant metagenome. RNAcentral's name for it is "partial contains small subunit ribosomal RNA, internal transcribed spacer 1, and 5.8S ribosomal RNA". The stretch from base 1 to 55 matches the Rfam family "Eukaryotic small subunit ribosomal RNA", at positions 1777 to 1831 of the family's 1831-position model. The record is from RNAcentral.